Juglans microcarpa x Juglans regia is the source of this 593-nucleotide long non-coding RNA. RefSeq lists it as uncharacterized. The record is from RefSeq and is a predicted model, not a curated record. The transcript has 3 exons. Lineage: Eukaryota; Viridiplantae; Streptophyta; Magnoliopsida; Fagales; Juglandaceae.
UGCUACUCGGCAGGAACUCAUCCACAGAUUCGACCCGCUUUCACCUUCCUCCACUAGAUUUUCCAUCGGGGAAAGGCAACAACUCUCCUCCUCUGUUGAAAUCAAUCGUUGGUCUCCAUCUUCUCGCAUUUCCAUAGCAAAAUGUCAAAGCUCUUUGCUUGUUAGCUUCUCAUUUCCACUACAAGCUUUACCCUUUUCUUGCUAGGAAAUUUUUGGGCCAACUCGCCUCCUCCCCCUCCUCCACUCUCCCUUCCCUAUUCCCAAACCCUCUUCCUAUCCAAAUCCCGAGGCUUGGUGACUAGCGUCGUAUACACAGCUUGGUUCAUCCACAAGAGUUGAUCACGAGUUUGAUUUUGGUCACGCGUAAAGCUCAUCCUCAGAUUCAUUGCCCUAGCAGUCUCCUCCACUGGAUUUCCCUGUUUAGAGAGCUCUUUCAUGCACCAUAGAUAUUGCCUCAUUAGCAACUUGGUUCACUUCAUUGGACACAUACUUUAAAUAUUCUGAGAUAUUUUUUGCUGAACAGAAGUUUACCUUGGCCUGUCGCUGGUAAACAAAAUGCGCAGCUUGAGGCACGAGAGUUGCACAUGGAGAUC